AGUGAACGCUGGCGGUAGGCCUAACACAUGCAAGUCGAACGGCCGCACAGUAAGCGCUCGCCCUUACGGGUGGCGAGUGGCGGACGGGUGAGGCAUACAUCGGAAUCUACUUUUUCGGGGGGGAUAACGUAGGGAAACUUACGCUAAUACCGCAUACGACCAACGGGUGAAAUCAGGGGUUCUUCGGACCUUGGGCGAUUGAAUGAGCCGAUGUCGGAUUAGCUAGUUGGCGGGGUAAAGGCACACCAAGGCGACGAUACGUAGCUGGUCUGAGAGGAUGAUCGGCCACACUGGAACUGAGACACGGUCCAGACUCCUACGGGAGGCAGCAGUGGGGAAUAUUGGACAAUGGGCGCAAGCCUGAUCCAGCCAUACCGCGUGGGUGAAGAAGGCCUUCGGGUUGUAAAGCCCUUUUGUUGGGAAAGAAAAGCAGCAGGUUAAUACCCCGCUGUUCUGACGGUACCCAAAGAAUAAGCACCGGCUAACUUCGUG
RNAcentral lists this ribosomal RNA (492 nucleotides) under uncultured bacterium. RNAcentral's name for it is "partial 16S ribosomal RNA". It matches the Rfam family "Bacterial small subunit ribosomal RNA", at positions 29 to 507 of the family's 1533-position model. The record is from RNAcentral.